RNAcentral lists this ribosomal RNA (494 nucleotides) under uncultured bacterium. Its description in RNAcentral is "partial 16S ribosomal RNA". It matches the Rfam family "Bacterial small subunit ribosomal RNA", at positions 28 to 507 of the family's 1533-position model. The record is from RNAcentral.
GACGAACGCUGGCGGCGUGCUUAACACAUGCAAGUCGAACGGAAAGGCCUGCUUUCCCUUGUGGAUUGCGGGUACUCGAGUGGCGAACGGGUGAGUAACACGUGAGUGAUCUGCCCCCAACUUGGGUAUAAGCCUGGGAAACUGGGUCUAAUUCCCGAUAGGACUGCAGGGUGGUGCCUGUGGUGGAAAACGAUUUUCUAGUGGUUGGGGAUGAGCUCGCGGCCUAUCAGCUUGUUGGUGGGGUAAUGGCCUACCAAGGCGGCGACGGGUAGCCGGCCUGGGAGGGUGGACGGCCACAUUGGGACUGAGAUACGGCCCAGACUCCUACGGGAGGCAGCAGUGGGGAACAUUGCACAAUGGGCGGAAGCCUGAUGCAGCGACGCCGCGUGGGGGAUGACGGCCUUCGGGUUGUAAACUCCUUUCGACCGCGAGGAAGCCACCUGGUUGGAAGGGUGGUGACGGUAGUGGUAGAAGAAGCACCGGCUAACUACGUG